Molecule: ribosomal RNA, 408 nt
Filed under: uncultured bacterium
Lineage: Bacteria
Description: partial 16S ribosomal RNA
Rfam family: Bacterial small subunit ribosomal RNA
Source: RNAcentral
GACGAACGCUGGCGGCGUGCUUAACACAUGCAAGUCGAACGAAGUGGCGAACGGGUGAGUAACGCGUAAACAACCUGCCCUUCAGAGGGGGACAACAGUUGGAAACGACUGCUAAUACCGCAUACCGAAGGAGGGGAUUGCGCCUGAUUAGCUAGUUGGAGGGGUAACGGCCCACCAAGGUGAUGUUCAGUAGCCGGUCGGUGCGGAUGGACGGCCACAUUGGGGCUGGGAAACGGCCCGGCCUCCUACGGGAGGCAGCAGUGGGGAAUCUUCCGCAAUGGACGUAAGUCUGACCGAGCAACGCCGCGUGAGUGAAGAAGGUUUUCGAAUCGUAAAACUCUGUUGUUAGAGAAGCGGUAUCUAACCAGAAAGCCACGGCUAACUACGUGCCAGCAGCCGCAGUAAUAC